RNAcentral lists this ribosomal RNA (482 nucleotides) under uncultured bacterium. RNAcentral describes it as "partial 16S ribosomal RNA". It matches the Rfam family "Bacterial small subunit ribosomal RNA", at positions 899 to 1397 of the family's 1533-position model. The record is from RNAcentral.
ACUCAAAUGAAUUGACGGGAACCCGCACAAGUAGUGGAGCAUGUGGUUUAAUUCGACGAUAAGCGAGGAACCUUACCCAGGUUCACACAACAGAAGUCUUUGGAAACAGAGAUGUGCCUUCGGGAGCUGUUGUACGGUGCUGCAUGGUCGUCGUCAGCUCGUGUCGUGAGAUGUACGGUUAAGUCCGGAAACGAGCGCAACCCCUAGUCUGUGUUAAAUAUUCACAGAUGACUGCCUACUUUAAGUAGGAGGAAGGUGGGGAUGACGUCAGAUCAGCAUGGUCCUUACGCCUGGGGCCACACACGUGCUACAAUGGGGUGGACAAAGGGAAGCCAAGCCGCAAGGCGGAGCAAAUCCCACCAAUACACCCCUCAGUUCGGAUUGAGGGCUGCAACUCGCCCUCAUGAAGCUGGAAUUACUAGUAACCGAGUAUCAGCCAUGGCUCGGUGAAUACGUUCUCGGGUUUUGUACACACCGCCCGU